Molecule: long non-coding RNA, 488 nt
Organism: Canis lupus familiaris (dog)
Lineage: Eukaryota; Metazoa; Chordata; Mammalia; Carnivora; Canidae
Exons: 4
Source: RefSeq, a predicted model, not a curated record
CACCUCCUCCACUGGCGCGAGUCCCCGGCCUCUGGGUCCCAAAGGAUGGGGCAUGGGUAGCCAGCUGCAGAGACGUACCCACAUGGAGGGCCUCACCCCAAAUCAAAGCAGGGAAAGGAGCCUGCCUCCUAAGCCACUCCCCAUAAUCCUGUUGGAAGCCACCAGCCUCUGCGGACACUGACUUGGGAACCAGAGCUGGGGAGGAAAGAGCAAGCUGACCGGGCUCCGGGGAGCUCCAGGCGGAUGCAGAAGAGGAGAUGCUCACACUCCGGAACAGUGAAGGAGACUGGGACCCUUUCUCAGCCGCUGCCAUCCGACGGACGCUGCUUCCCCCCUCAGAUUGGGGCCUCUCUGGGGCAGGGGGCUGCCUCCCCUUGGCGGGGGGACCUCUGGCCAGGCAGGAGGGGCCGCGACUUCCGCGUCUGCCCAGAGGCGCCCGGCGGGCGGCCCCCCCAGACCAGAGGUUCCCGGAGCCAAGGCGCUGCCUC